ACGCCUAGGAUCAUGAAACUUUAUAGGUAGAUUGAUCAUGACUCGCAGAUGACCCCUAUUGAUUUUGAGGUCACUAGGUCAAAGGUCAAGGUCACGGUAACCCGAAAUAGUAAAAUGGUUUUCGGAUGAUAACUCAAGAACGCAUACACUUAGGAUCAUGAAACUUCAUGGGUAGAUUGAUCAUGACUCGCAGAUGACCCCUAUUGAUUUUGAGGUAACUAGGUCAAAGGUCAAGGUCACGGUGACCCGAAAUAGUUAAAUGGUUUCCGGAUGAUAACUCAAGAACGCAUACGCCUAGGAUCAUGAAACUUCAUGGGUAGAUUGAUCAUGACUCGCAGAUGACCCCUAUCAAUUUUGAGGUCACUAGGUCAAAGGUCAAGGUCACGGUGACCCGAAAUAGUAAAAUGGUUUCCGGAUGAUAACUCAAGAACGCAUAUGCCUAGGAUCAUGAAACUUCAUGGGUAGAUUGAUCAUGACUCGCAGAUGACUCCUAUAAAUUUUGAGGUCACUAGGUCAAAGGUCAAGGUCACGGUGACCCGAAAUAGUAAAAUGGUUUCCGGAUGAUAACUCAAGAACGCAUACGCCUAGGAUCAUGAAACUUCAUAGGUAGAUUGAUCAUGACUUGCAGAUGACCCCUAUUGAUUAUCAAGUCUCUAGGUCAAAGGGCAAGGUCACAGUGAUCCGAAAUAGUAAAAUGGUUUCCGGAUGAUAACUCAAGAACGCUUAGGCCUAGGAUCAUGCAACUUGAUAGGUAGAUUGAUCAUGACUCGUAGAUGACCCCUAUUGAUUUUCAGGUCACUAGGUCAAAGGUCAAGGUCACAGUGACCCGAAAUAGUAAAAUGGUUUCCGGAUGAUAACUCAAGAACGCUUAUGCCUAGGAUCAUGAAACUUCAUAGUACAUUGAUCAUGACUCGCAGAUGACCCGUAUUGAUUUUAAGGUCAAAGGUCAAGGUCACGGUGACCCGAAAUAGUAAAAUGGUUUCCGGAUGAUUACUCAAGAACGCUUAUGCCUAGGAUCAUGAAACUUCAUAGGUACAUUGAUCAUGACUCGCAGUUGACCCCUAUUGAUUUUAAGUCACAAGGUCAAAGGUCAAGGUCAUGGUGACCCGAAAUAGGAAAAUGGUUUCCGGGUGAUAACUCAAGAAUGCUUAUGCCUAGUAUCAUUGAACUUGAUAGGUAGAUUGAUCAGGACUCGCAGUUGACCCCUAAUGAUUUUCAGGUCACUAUAUCAAAGGUCAAGGUCACGGUGACCGGAAAUAGUAAAAUGGUUUCCGGAUGAUUACUCAAGAACGCUAAUUGCUAAGAUCAUAAAACUUCAUAGGUACAUUGAUCAGGACUCGCAGAUGACCCCUAUCGAUAUUGCGGUCACUAGAUCAAAGGUCAAGGUCAAUGUGGCAUAAAACAUAUUCACACAAUGGCUGUCACUACAACGGAGAUCCCAUAUGGGGAUCAUGCAUGUUUUACAAACAGCCCUUGUUAUUUUUCGUUUUAUGAUUAUGUACAUACACUUCUUAUAAUUGUGUGUUAUAAAAUGGCGCUUAAAAUGUUUAUUAUAUCGAUAUAACGUUUAAAUGAUUAAAAUGGAAGUUAGAAUUUAG
Molecule: long non-coding RNA, 1598 nt
Organism: Dreissena polymorpha
Lineage: Eukaryota; Metazoa; Mollusca; Bivalvia; Myida; Dreissenidae
Exons: 2
Source: RefSeq, a predicted model, not a curated record